UACGUAGGUGACAAGCGUUGUCCGGAUUUACUGGGCGUAAAGAGCGCGCAGGCGGUCGUUCAAGUCGAGUGUGAAAGCCCCCGGCUCAACUGGGGAGGGUCACUCGAUACUGAUCGACUCGAAGGCAGGAGAGGGUAGUGGAAUUCCCGGUGUAGUGGUGAGAUGCGUAGAUAUCGGGAGGAACACCAGUGGCGAAGGCGACUACCUGGCCUGUUCUUGACGCUGAGGCGCGAAAGCUAGGGGAGCAAACGGG
RNAcentral lists this ribosomal RNA (253 nucleotides) under uncultured bacterium. Its description in RNAcentral is "partial 16S ribosomal RNA". It matches the Rfam family "Bacterial small subunit ribosomal RNA", at positions 524 to 776 of the family's 1533-position model. The record is from RNAcentral.